This 23-nucleotide non-coding RNA is filed under the name Rattus norvegicus (Norway rat). Lineage: Eukaryota; Metazoa; Chordata; Mammalia; Rodentia; Muridae. The record is from RNAcentral.
UGCACACACAGAGAGGCCUGUCA